This 253-nucleotide ribosomal RNA is filed under the name uncultured bacterium. Its description in RNAcentral is "partial 16S ribosomal RNA". It matches the Rfam family "Bacterial small subunit ribosomal RNA", at positions 524 to 776 of the family's 1533-position model. The record is from RNAcentral.
UACGAAGGGGGCUAGCGUUGCUCGGAAUCACUGGGCGUAAAGGGUGCGUAGGCGGGUCUUUAAGUCAGGGGUGAAAUCCUGGAGCUCAAAUCCAGAACUGCCUUUGAUACUGAAGAUCUUGAGUUCGGGAGAGGUGAGUGGAACUGCGAGUGUAGAGGUGAAAUUCGUAGAUAUUCGCAAGAACACCAGUGGCGAAGGCGGCUCCCUGGCCCGAUACUGACGCUGAGGCACGAAAGCGUGGGGAGCAAACAGG